AGGUGAAUCCAGGUUGUAAAUCCGGAACUUUUUUAUUUUUUCAGUUUGAAUUUUUUGAUUUUUUUUUAUCACUUUGCGGCAUGCUAUUAUCAAGGAAGAGCCCCUCAGGGUUGUGUUCAAGCGAGCCGGACAUGGUUUAAUUGCCAGAAGAGCAACAGUUUAUCUUUCCGUCUCUGAAAAUGAUGAGGUUAAAAGAAGGAAGCUGUUACGGGCACUUUAUCUUAUGAGAGACCCUUUCUUCAGCAAGUAUACCAGGCAAAGACUCGGAAGCACCAAGAACAUUUUGGAACCUGUACCGAUUAUAUAUUGGGUUUCUUGCUGAAGAUUUCUAAGAAAUCCAAAGAUUGCAGAGAGUGACCUCUGAUAUGCACAAUAAUACACAAGCUUCCAAAGGCUUUGAUUCCAUUCCUCACCCUCCAAUGCGUCAUAUCUGUAACUG
Long non-coding RNA from Juglans microcarpa x Juglans regia, 439 nucleotides. RefSeq lists it as uncharacterized. Lineage: Eukaryota; Viridiplantae; Streptophyta; Magnoliopsida; Fagales; Juglandaceae. The transcript is spliced from 4 exons. The record is from RefSeq and is a predicted model, not a curated record.